CCUACGGGAGGCUGCAGUGAGGAAUAUUGGUCAAUGGGCGAGAGCCUGAACCAGCCAAGUCGCGUGAGGGAGUACUGCCCUAUGGGUUGUAAACCUCUUUUGUCGGGGAGCAAAAGCCGGACGUGUCCGGCUGUGAGAGUACCCGAAGAAAAAGCAUCGGCUAACUCCGUGCCAGCAGCCGCGGUAAUACGGAGGAUGCGAGCGUUAUCCGGAUUUAUUGGGUUAAAAGGGGGCGCAGGCGGAUUUUUAAGUCAGCGGUAAAAUCGUGGGGCUCAACCCCAUCCAGCCGUUGAAACUGGGGAUCUAGAGUGUGCGAGAGGUAUGCGGAAUGCGUGGUGUAGCGGUGAAAUGCAUAGAUAUCACGCAGAACCCCGAUUGCGAAGGCAGCAUACCGGUGCACAACUGACGCUCAGGCACGAAAGCGUGGGUAUCGAACAGGAUUAGAUACCCCUGUAGUC
RNAcentral lists this ribosomal RNA (458 nucleotides) under uncultured bacterium. RNAcentral describes it as "partial 16S ribosomal RNA". It matches the Rfam family "Bacterial small subunit ribosomal RNA", at positions 338 to 795 of the family's 1533-position model. The record is from RNAcentral.